RNAcentral lists this ribosomal RNA (456 nucleotides) under uncultured bacterium. Its description in RNAcentral is "bacterial SSU rRNA". It matches the Rfam family "Bacterial small subunit ribosomal RNA", at positions 923 to 1379 of the family's 1533-position model. The record is from RNAcentral.
GCACAAGCGGUGGAGCAUGUGGUUUAAUUCGACGCAACGCGAAGAACCUUACCUGGGCUCGAAAUGGAGUGGACCGGAGUGGAAACAUUCCUUCCCCGCAAGGGGCUGCUCUAUAGGUGCUGCAUGGCUGUCGUCAGCUCGUGUCGUGAGAUGUUGGGUUAAGUCCCGCAACGAGCGCAACCCUUAUUACCAGUUGCCAUCAUUAAGUUGGGCACUCAGGUGAGACCGCCUCGGAUAACGGGGAGGAAGGCGGGGAUGACGUCAAGUCCUCAUGGCCUUUAUGUCCAGGGCUACACACGUGCUACAAUGGCCGGUACAAACCGUCGCAAACCCGUGAGGGGGAGCUAAUCGGAAAAAGCCGGCCUCAGUUCGGAUUGUAGUCUGCAACUCGACUACAUGAAGCUGGAAUCGCUAGUAAUCGCGGAUCAGAACGCCGCGGUGAAUACGUUCCCGGGC